GACAGAGGGUGCAAUCGUUGUUCGGAAUUACUGGGCGUAAAGCGCGUGUAGGCGGCCCUGCAAGUCGGAUGUGAAAUCCCACGGCUCAACCGUGGAAGUGCAUUCGAAACUGCAGGGCUAGAGUCCUGGAGAGGAAGGUGGAAUGCUUGGUGUAGAGGUGAAAUGCGCAGAUAUCAGGAGGAACACCGGUGGCGAAGGCGGGUCUCUGGGCAGUUACUGACGCUGAGGAGCGAAAGCGUGGGGAGCGAACAGG
RNAcentral lists this ribosomal RNA (253 nucleotides) under uncultured bacterium. Its description in RNAcentral is "partial 16S ribosomal RNA". It matches the Rfam family "Bacterial small subunit ribosomal RNA", at positions 524 to 776 of the family's 1533-position model. The record is from RNAcentral.